GACGAACGCUGGCGGCGUGCCUAAUACAUGCAAGUAGAACGCACAGUUUAUACCGUAGCUUGCUACACCAUAGACUGUGAGUUGCGAACGGGUGAGUAACGCGUAGGUAACCUGCCUGGUAGCGGGGGAUAACUAUUGGAAACGAUAGCUAAUACCGCAUAAUAUUAAUUAUUGCAUGAUAAUUAAUUGAAAGGUGCAAUUGCACCACUACCAGAUGGACCUGCGUUGUAUUAGCUAGUAGGUGAGGUAACGGCUCACCUAGGCGACGAUACAUAGCCGACCUGAGAGGGUGAUCGGCCGCACUGGGACUGAGACACGGCCCAGACUCCUACGGGAGGCAGCAGUAGGGAAUCUUCGGCAAUGGACGAAAGUCUGACCGAGCAACGCCGCGUGAGUGAAGAAGGUUUUCGGAUCGUAAAGCUCUGUUGUAAGAGAAGAACGGGUGUGAGAGUGGAAAGUUCACACUGUGACGGUAUCUUACCAGAAAGGGACGGCUAACUACGUG
This 505-nucleotide ribosomal RNA is filed under the name uncultured bacterium. RNAcentral describes it as "partial 16S ribosomal RNA". It matches the Rfam family "Bacterial small subunit ribosomal RNA", at positions 28 to 507 of the family's 1533-position model. The record is from RNAcentral.